UGAGAACAUUGGAAUCAAAAUGGGGACCAAUGAAGAAAUAGAUCCAGCCCAGGCAUUAGAACAUAAACUGUUCAGUCGGAAUAUGGCUAUGGAUGAAAUCACUGCACGCGGAGACUCGGCCGUGCAGCAGUUCUACUGCGGCGCCACCGUGUUCGUGACAGGCGGCUCCGGCUUCCUCGGCAAGCAGCUCGUAGAGAAACUCUUCAGGUGAGGGAUAUUUGUCAGGCCGUGGAGACUCGGCCGUGCAGCAGUUCUACUGCGGCGCCACCGUGUUCGUGACAGGCGGCUCCGGCUUCCUCGGCAAGCAGCUCGUAGAGAAACUCUUCAGGGCCACAAAAGUAGCAAAAGUCUUCAUUCUGUUGAGACCAAAGAAAGGAAAACAGAUGCUGGAGAGACUUCAGGAAAUGUUACAGGAUCCCGUUUUCGAUAUUCUUCGGGACACACAGCCAGACUUCAUCGACAAACUAGUACCAAUAGCUGGUGACGUAGCUGACAUGAGACUGGGCAUCAGCGAUAAAGACUGGGACACUAUUACAGAUGAG
Helicoverpa armigera (cotton bollworm) is the source of this 542-nucleotide long non-coding RNA. RefSeq lists it as uncharacterized. The transcript is spliced from 3 exons. The record is from RefSeq and is a predicted model, not a curated record. NCBI's taxonomy places the organism in Eukaryota, Metazoa, Arthropoda, Insecta, Lepidoptera, Noctuidae.